Molecule: non-coding RNA, 1872 nt
Organism: Pelobates cultripes (western spadefoot toad)
Lineage: Eukaryota; Metazoa; Chordata; Amphibia; Anura; Pelobatidae
Source: the annotation of a GenBank genome assembly
UUUCUCAUUCCAAACCAAUCUCAUGCACAAUUCUGGUGAUUAUCGAGCAAACCAUUUUUUUGUUUUGUUUUUUUAAUGAAAAAUGUGCCAUUUUUUUGUUCUUACCCUAACAAAUUCAACCUGUUCAGAAUUAGAUUUUUCUUCCCAAAAUAUGUGCUGUUGGAACUGAAUGCUACAAUGUAUCAUCUGCUUAGAAAUUUGAUUCAAAAGACAUUUUGGGAGGGUGUCGAAAUUGGCAAAUAACGGUCAACAUAAAUGCAUGCAUUCCCUAAAGGGGACAAGCUCGAUUUAUGGAAGGGAGUUUCCAGUUGCUUUCUGCAAUUUUCCAUUUUUGUUAUUUUUGGUAAGGUUUGCUGUUUUUUUGUAGCUUGAAUAUAUUAGUCAAUCUGAAAUGAUAAUUUUAUGGCAGAAAAGCGUUAUAUAAAAUAACAUCCAUAUUUUAGGCAGCACGAUGAUCUUUUUAUUUUGGCUUUCAGUAUAAAGUGUGCAAAAUUCUAAUAAUAAUAAUAAAUAUAUAUACAUACUCAUUUGUUAAAGGACCACUAUAGGCACCCAGAACACUUCAGCUUAAUGAAGUGGUCUGGGUGCCUGGGCCAGCUAGGGUUAACCCUUUCUUUUAUAAACAUAGCAGUUUCAGAGAAACUGCUAUGUUUACACUGAGGGUUAAUCCAGCCUCUAAAGCCUCUAGUGACUGUCUCAUUGACAGCCGCUAGAGGCACUUGCGUGCUUCUCACUGUGAAAAUCACAGUGAGAAGACACCAGCAUCCAUAGGAAAGCAUUGUAAAAGCACGUAAAUGCUUUCCUAUGAACUGGCUGAAUGCGCGCGCGGCUCCUGCCGCGCAUGCGCAUUCAGCCGAUGACGUCGCUAGGAAGGAGGAGAGGAGGAGGAAAGCUCCCCGCCCGGCGCUGGAGAAAGGUAAGAUUUUAACCCCUUCCUUUCUCCAGAACCCGGCAGGAGGGGGUCCCUGAGGGUGGGGGCACCCUCAGGGCACUAUAGUGCCAGGAAAACGAGUAUGUUUUCCUGGCACUAUAGUGGUCCUUUAACCCCUUAAGGACACAUGACAUGUGUGACAUGUCAUGAUUCACUUUUAUUCCAGAAGUUUGGUCCUUAAGGGGUUAAAUAGAUUUUAUUCUGCCUCUGUUAAAAGAUGAGUUUGGCACGUGAAAAAAAACAAAAAACAAAAAAACUCUGUCCCCUUUUUAUGUGACACGUGAACUAUAUUGAGAAUUCAAAGUGAAUUUCAAAAUGAAGGUCAAAUUGGCCAAAAUGAAAGUCAACAAUGCUUCUACUUUGGCUACUCUGGCCUUAAAUUCAAAAUUCACUUUCUCUCUUUAGUGAAUAACCCUGUAGGUUAGUAUUGACUGUGUUGUAAUAACCCAAGCACAUUAAUUAUGCUACUUGUUAUGACGUCUAUUUGAGAUGUAUGAGACUCUAAAUUUCGUUUUUCUGAGAUAUGUUUUCUUAUUUUGUCAAACACAGAAGGAUGAAAGCUUGACUUGAAACAGCCAUGAAUUAAGCCUGCAACCAUGAGGGGCACUAACUCACCAAGUUCUGUUAUGGAAAUAAAUACACGAAACACUGACCAUGAUAAGCUCAAGACGUCAGAACAUUUCUAACACCUCCCAGCAGUCUAUACCAGGGUUGCUGACAUGUAGGAUUGCCCAAAAUCCCAACAGACAUGUAGUUUGGAGGAAUGGACUUAAUUAAAACAAUGAUCUACCAUGAACAAGCCUUGAAGAAGUCAGACAGCCUCAGGUUCUAGAUAGUCUCUGGAACAAAGUCACACCUAGCUGGACAACACUGGAAUAGUAUACUGUCAAUGAGUCUCUGCAGUGGAAAGAAUAAAAUAUUACUUUCAUGAAAUACCUGUU